Molecule: non-coding RNA, 54 nt
Organism: Salmo salar (Atlantic salmon)
Lineage: Eukaryota; Metazoa; Chordata; Actinopteri; Salmoniformes; Salmonidae
Source: Rfam
AAUGCACCAAGUUGUAAGUCGCUCUGGAUAAGAGCGUCUGCUAAAUGAUGUAAA